CGGCAACAGCUCAAAUUUGAAAUCUGGCGCAAGCCCGAGUUGUAAUUUGUAGAGGAUGUUUUGGGUACCGCCCCGGUCUAAAUUUCUUGGAACAGAAUGUCAAAGAGGGUGAGAAUCCCGUCUUGGACCGGCGGUAGGGCCUGUGUAAAACUCCUUCGAC
This 160-nucleotide ribosomal RNA is filed under the name Arthrocladium sp. RNAcentral describes it as "partial large subunit ribosomal RNA". It matches the Rfam family "Eukaryotic large subunit ribosomal RNA", at positions 99 to 261 of the family's 3401-position model. Lineage: Eukaryota; Fungi; Ascomycota; Eurotiomycetes; Chaetothyriales; Trichomeriaceae. The record is from RNAcentral.